AAAAUACUUUCUCCGUCCAAAAAUAUUUGUCGGAGAAAUGAAUAAAAAUGGUUGUAUUUAGAAUUAAAAUACGUCUGAUACAUCAAUUUCUCUGACAAGUAUUUCUAGACGAAGGGAGUAAGUU
Triticum aestivum (bread wheat) is the source of this 124-nucleotide non-coding RNA. Lineage: Eukaryota; Viridiplantae; Streptophyta; Magnoliopsida; Poales; Poaceae. The record is from Rfam.